This 240-nucleotide long non-coding RNA is filed under the name Lathyrus oleraceus (garden pea). RNAcentral describes it as "Pisum sativum (pea) long non-coding RNA (PSAT_LNC014795)". The record is from RNAcentral. Lineage: Eukaryota; Viridiplantae; Streptophyta; Magnoliopsida; Fabales; Fabaceae.
AAUUUAGCUCUAUGGCAAGCAAUCGUAAUUGGACUUAUGUAGAAGUCACAUCUAUCUGAGAUCGGGCAAUAAAAAUUUAGGUGUUAAUGUAUGUUAGAGAUUUGGUAUGAUGAACCUAACUCCUAAAAUAUACCACACACUAAAAGAAAAGACCAAAAGGGAUGGACCUAUCUCAUCCAUACUUGUAUUGGUUCAUCUGACACAAGGUCAUUGAUGAACCAAUUAGCCUUAGGAUAUUUG